RNAcentral lists this ribosomal RNA (484 nucleotides) under uncultured bacterium. RNAcentral describes it as "partial 16S ribosomal RNA". It matches the Rfam family "Bacterial small subunit ribosomal RNA", at positions 30 to 507 of the family's 1533-position model. The record is from RNAcentral.
AUUGAACGCUGGCGGCAGGCCUAACACAUGCAAGUCGAGCGGAUGAAGGGAGCUUGCUCCUGGAUUCAGCGGCGGACGGGUGAGUAAUGCCUAGGAAUCUGCCUGGGAGUGGGGGAUAACGUCCGGAAACGGGCGCUAAUACCGCAUACGUCCUGAGGGAGAAAGUGGGGGAUCUUCGGACCUCACGCUAUCAGAUGAGCCUAGGUCGGAUUAGCUAGUUGGUGGGGUAAAGGCCUACCAAGGCGACGAUCCGUAACUGGUCUGAGAGGAUGAUCAGUCACACUGGAACUGAGACACGGUCCAGACUCCUACGGGAGGCAGCAGUGGGGAAUAUUGGACAAUGGGCGAAAGCCUGAUCCAGCCCUGCCGCGUGUGUGAAGAAGGUCUUCGGAUUGUAAAGCACUUUAAGUUGGGAGGAAGGGCAGUAAGUUAAUACCUUGAUGUUUUGACGUUACCAACAGAAUAAGCACCGGCUAACUUCGUG